This 497-nucleotide ribosomal RNA is filed under the name uncultured bacterium. RNAcentral's name for it is "partial 16S ribosomal RNA". It matches the Rfam family "Bacterial small subunit ribosomal RNA", at positions 28 to 507 of the family's 1533-position model. The record is from RNAcentral.
GAUGAACGCUGGCGGCGUGCCUAAUACAUGCAAGUCGAGCGAACAGAUAAGGAGCUUGCUCCUUUGACGUUAGCGGCGGACGGGUGAGUAACACGUGGGUAACCUACCUAUAAGACUGGGAUAACUUCGGGAAACCGGAGCUAAUACCGGAUAACAUUUGGAACCGCAUGGUUCUAAAGUGAAAGAUGGUUUUGCUAUCACUUAUAGAUGGACCCGCGCCGUAUUAGCUAGUUGGUAAGGUAACGGCUUACCAAGGCGACGAUACGUAGCCGACCUGAGAGGGUGAUAGGCCACACUGGAACUGAGACACGGUCCAGACUCCUACGGGAGGCAGCAGUAGGGAAUCUUCCGCAAUGGGCGAAAGCCUGACGGAGCAACGCCGCGUGAGUGAUGAAGGGUUUCGGCUCGUAAAACUCUGUUAUUAGGGAAGAACAAACGUGUAAGUAACUGUGCACGUCUUGACGGUACCUAAUCAGAAAGCCACGGCUAACUACGUG